CGUCGCUGCAGACUGUAGCGCGGUGACGUCACGUACGUACGUCACGUAUGUGUUUACUGCGCAUGCGCAAUGUGACAUAAGGUAUAUGUUUAACACGCAUGCGCGUCGUACAUAUUGGCGUUACCAAGGAGUAUAGAAGCGCUAUAUACCUAGGGUUACUGCGCAUGUACAGGUUCAUUCACUUCCGGAUGUAUGGUGGAUUCGAGAUUCGUUGGCAAUGCAUACUACAGUCCUCAGAAAAGGAGAAAAGAUAACAAUAGAACAGUGCAUCUCAUGCUGUGAUAAAUAUCACUGCCCAUUUUGUGAGACCUGGGUCUACAAACCAGUGGACUUGUACAGUGUCACGAAGCAUGUGCAGGAUCAUCUGAAAACAGCUGUUCGUGAAGAAGAUUUUAUUAUCAUAAGAUGCAGCUUAAAAUGCAGAGAUGUUUCUCAUUUUCAUUGCUGCUAUUGUUCUGCUACAAUCAUACGAAAAGCACAAUUUAACAUCCAUCUUACAAAAUGCAAGCAAAAGAAACAAAAGUUUCCAUCUCCACAAAGAACUCCAUCACCCAUGGUUCUGAUUGGUAAUACA
Long non-coding RNA from Carassius auratus (goldfish), 574 nucleotides. RefSeq lists it as uncharacterized. The transcript has 3 exons. The record is from RefSeq and is a predicted model, not a curated record. NCBI's taxonomy places the organism in Eukaryota, Metazoa, Chordata, Actinopteri, Cypriniformes, Cyprinidae.